Molecule: ribosomal RNA, 515 nt
Filed under: uncultured bacterium
Lineage: Bacteria
Description: partial 16S ribosomal RNA
Rfam family: Bacterial small subunit ribosomal RNA
Source: RNAcentral
GAUGAACGCUGGCGGCGUGCCUAAUACAUGCAAGUCGAGCGAAUGGAUUAAGAGCUUGCUCUUAUGAAGUUAGCGGCGGACGGGUGAGUAACACGUGGGUAACCUGCCCAUAAGACUGGGAUAACUCCGGGAAACCGGGGCUAAUACCGGAUAACAUUUUGAACCGCAUGGUUCGAAGUUGAAAGGCGGCUUCGGCUGUCACUUAUGGAUGGACCCGCGUCGCAUUAGCUAGUUGGCGAGGUAACGGCCCACCAAGGCAACGAUGCGUAGCCGACGUGGGAGGGUGAUCGGCAACGCUGGGACUGAGACACGGCCCAGACUCCUACGGGAGGCAGCAGUAGGGAAUCUUCCGCAAUGGACGAAAGUCUGACGGAGCAACGCCGCGUGAGUGAUGAAGGCUUUCGGGUCGUAAAACUCUGUUGUUAGGGAAGAACAAGUGCUAGUUGAAUAAGCUGGCACCUUGACGGUACCUAACCAGAAAGCCACGGCUAACUACGUGCCAGCCGCCGCAGUAA